This 400-nucleotide ribosomal RNA is filed under the name uncultured soil bacterium. RNAcentral describes it as "bacterial SSU rRNA". It matches the Rfam family "Bacterial small subunit ribosomal RNA", at positions 975 to 1375 of the family's 1533-position model. The record is from RNAcentral.
CUGGGCUCGAAAUGUACCGGAAUCCGGCAGAAACGUCGGCGUCUAGCAAUAGACCGGUAUAUAGGUGCUGCAUGGCUGUCGUCAGCUCGUGUCGUGAGAUGUUGGGUUAAGUCCCGCAACGAGCGCAACCCUUGAUCUUAGUUGCCAGCAUUCAGUUGGGCACUCUAAGGUGACUGCCGGUGACAAACCGGAGGAAGGUGGGGAUGACGUCAAAUCAUCAUGCCCCUUAUGACCUGGGCUACACACGUGCUACAAUGGGUGGUACAAAGGGCUGCAAAACCGCGAGGUUAAGCGAAUCCCAUAAAACCACUCUCAGUUCGGAUUGUAGGCUGCAACUCGCCUACAUGAAGCUGGAAUCGCUAGUAAUCGUGGAUCAGCAUGCCACGGUGAAUACGUUCCC